GAUGAACGCUGGCGGCGUGCCUAAUACAUGCAAGUCGAGCGAACGGACGAGAAGCUUGCUUCUCUGAUGUUAGCGGCGGACGGGUGAGUAACACGUGGAUAACCUACCUAUAAGACUGGGAUAACUUCGGGAAACCGGAGCUAAUACCGGAUAAUAUUUUGAACCGCAUGGUUCAAAAGUGAAAGACGGUCUUGCUGUCACUUAUAGAUGGAUCCGCGCUGCAUUAGCUAGUUGGUAAGGUAACGGCUUACCAAGGCAACGAUGCAUAGCCGACCUGAGAGGGUGAUCGGCCACACUGGGACUGAGACACGGCCCAGACUCCUACGGGAGGCAGCAGUGGGGAAUUUUGGACAAUGGGCGAAAGCCUGACGGAGCAACGCCGCGUGAGUGAUGAAGGUCUUCGGAUCGUAAAACUCUGUUAUUAGGGAAGAACAUAUGUGUAAGUAACUGUGCACAUCUUGACGGUACCUAAUCAGAAAGCCACGGCUAACUACGUG
This 497-nucleotide ribosomal RNA is filed under the name uncultured bacterium. RNAcentral describes it as "partial 16S ribosomal RNA". It matches the Rfam family "Bacterial small subunit ribosomal RNA", at positions 28 to 507 of the family's 1533-position model. The record is from RNAcentral.